AACACAGUCUGUAAUAUUUAAAUCUUGAAAUUUAUUUUAUAGCCCAGCAUGUGAUCCAGCUUGAUGAACAUUCCAUGUGCACGUGACAAGAAUGGAUAUUCUGCUGUUGUUGGCUGUAGUGUUCUAUGUCAGCCAUCCCUGUGGGGGUGUCAGUGAUGCUUGGACUCCACUAACUGCACCAUUGUCCUACUCCAUCUCCUUUGAGCCUGCUGUCAACCUCUGCACACAUGGCCUCAGCCCCUAGCCCUGGAUGACCACCAUUAGACCCAGCAGAACGGCAGCAGUGGUUUGCUGGCCCAGCACCUAGAGCUGCAGAAUAUGCUCCCUUGACCCUCAGGGAAAGAUGCAGAGCUAGUGAGACUUACUCUCCUCCACCACCAAAGUGAAGGUGAGUUUACCCUCUCCCUCAUCCCAGGAUCCUCCCUGAAUGGGCCGGGAGCUGCUGCUGACACAUCUCAGGACCGCCAGCUUCAGCCCCGCUCCCAGUGCCUUGUUAACGGUGAGAGCACUAGCGGAAAGAAAGGCGGCACGUCAGGGCAAAAGCAGCUUCUGAGGGCGUCUCCAAGCCCAGCCCUGCCUCCUUGGCAGUGAGGUAUGCCCGCAACCUCCACUUUGCUCUUAGUACUGGGGCCAAAGUAUCCUGGGUGUAAAAUGGGGAUGAUCCUUUCCAUGCCACGGGGUCCUGAGCUCCCUGUGGCUCCAGGAUCCUGGGCUUGUGGCUGCGUCGCUCCUGCCUCUGCCUCUGUCUUCACGUGGCCUGUCCCCAUGUAUCUUUUCCUCUCCUCCUCAGGACAUUUGUCAUUGGAUUUAGGGCCCACCCAGAAUCCAGGAGGGGCUCAUCUUCAGAUCCUUAAUGACAUCUACAAAGACCCUUUAUCUAAAUAGGUCAGAUUCACAGGUCCCGGCGGUUAGGACAUGGACAUACGUUUUUGAGGGCGCCAUUCAACCCGCAACGGGAGCCAUCACAUUCUCAUUUCUCCUUCCUUAAUGUUCUCACGGGCCCAGCACACAGGCCAGGAUGGAGCAUUCUUUGAGGUGUUCCUGGGAGCCCAGCAACAGACUGGGUGUUCAGUGUGCCCCUGUCGGUCUCCACGUGGGCCCUGCAAGAAGGAGCCACCCCCGUUUUACGGGGGGUUCAGGGCUUGUGGCCAGAUGUGCAGCUAGGCCUGGAUCAGGCUCCCGUCCGGCCCCAGUGCGUCUGCCGUGCCCGUGACCCCAGGCUGUGUCUCUCAGAAUCCGCCAAGAUUCCAGGGCAGGUAACUGCAGAGCUCCCCCGAGUCCUGUGCACGCCUCGGCUCACACUGCAGCUCAGCAGCAGCAACGCGGGUGACAGAAACCAGCUCUGUGUCUGUGAGCCUCUGCCUCACCUUCUGGGGGAUGGCACAGUAUUGCUCCAAGACAUGCAAACAGCUGCGGGCAGCAGAGACAGUGAGGCAACCCUGCCACACUCUCCAACCAUGCCCUCCUCAGGCAUGCGGAGAAAGCACCCCUUCAUCUGUGCAAGGAAUCCUCAAGCAGCAGACAAAAUUCAUGCACUGUUAAUUCAGAUGUUACAGUCACAUCCAGUGCUAAGGGCUGUCCUUUGAAAACAGCUGAGGUAGACACAUCUUCCAAGAACAAAUCAUAGAAAUGUUACCAGGCGAUUGUCUUCACAACCUCUGCAUCAGUGAUGGGGACUUGGGGGUAAGCUUUUGGUUGGCGUUGUGAACAGUGCCAGCUCCCUAAAGCAAGCUUGCUUUUCUGUUGUUUGAAAUACUGCAGGAGAACUGAAAUUCUCUUAAAAUAUACCGGUUUCUGGUUCAAGAGAAAUACUUUUUUGCACCAAUUUAAUUCAGGUUUCUAAAGCCGAGGCAGGGAUGGCAUCACAGUCUGUUGAAUGAAUUCCAGCUCAUUUGGGGCCUUUCCAUGACAAAUCAUUCCUAAUGGAAUCUCUCCAAAGCACAGGGGAAAAAAUCGAAGGCAUCAAAGUGCCCUUUCCAUUUCAAUAAACUCCACUGGCCAGGAUUCUGUUUGCAUAACACAGAAUAAACAUGGAACCCAGGCCUGCCCAGCACAUUUACUCCCUGGUUAGCACCUCUGUUCACCUGUUUUCUCUUUUAUAUGAGUGACCAUUUCCUAAAACGCAAUCAAUCAAUCACUGUCAAGUAAGAUCUUGAAAUUAUCACCAUGGAGAAAAGACAUGAAGAGUCUGCAUUAAGGUAACGUGACCGGUGCCUAGAGUGAGGAAGGAGCACGUUCAGAAUGGUCCCGGGUCAUUUUCAAGACCUUCCCCCCGUCACUGUUGGAUGAAGUAAGGAGCCGGACAUCAGUGUUUAUUAAACCAGAUUUAUUCUCCACAAGCUGAAGAUACCUGAGGUUACAUGAGGACUGGCAUUAAAUAAUUUAUAAAUGUAUUUUU
Molecule: long non-coding RNA, 2398 nt
Filed under: Homo sapiens (human)
Lineage: Eukaryota; Metazoa; Chordata; Mammalia; Primates; Hominidae
Description: HSALNT0144979
Source: RNAcentral